RNAcentral lists this signal recognition particle RNA (391 nucleotides) under Candidatus Aenigmatarchaeota archaeon. RNAcentral describes it as "signal recognition particle sRNA". It matches the Rfam family "Archaeal signal recognition particle RNA". The record is from RNAcentral. Lineage: Archaea; Nanobdellati; Candidatus Aenigmatarchaeota.
UACGAGGCUAGGCCGGGUAGCUAGCGGUUGCCUGUAGAGACCCUUUUCUUUUGGAAAGAAAAGCGUCUACGGAAAAGAAACACAUUAUGAUAUGAUAGGCGGAAGCCGUAGUUUUCGUAGACGUUUUUGAGCAUGCUCAAAAAGGUCUUGGGCAAAACCGUCAGUCCGCUUCAGACGGGGCCGAAGCCCAAAGGCGGUGCAGUCGCUUCAAAAAGCCCGUUGUUCAAGCAACGAAGCCCAGCCCGCUGGGAUUUCUUCUGUAGCAAACCGGGUCAGGCGGGGAACCGAGCAGCCCUAAGUUAUAGUCGGAAUGCUCAGCGGUAUCUGGGUGGAGCAAGAACUCCGGACAAACUUUUUGCAGCUUCUGCAUCCACUGCGGGCGCGCCUCUUU